UGGGGAAUAUUGGACAAUGGGCGCAAGCCUGAUCCAGCCAUGCCGCGUGAGUGAUGAAGGCCCUAGGGUUGUAAAGCUCUUUCACCGGUGAAGAUAAUGACGGUAACCGGAGAAGAAGCCCCGGCUAACUUCGUGCCAGCAGCCGCGGUAAUACGAAGGGGGCUAGCGUUGUUCGGAAUUACUGGGCGUAAAGCGCACGUAGGCGGACAUUUAAGUCAGGGGUGAAAUCCCAGAGCUCAACUCUGGAACUGCCUUUGAUACUGGGUGUCUUGAGUAUGGAAGAGGUAAGUGGAAUUCCGAGUGUAGAGGUGAAAUUCGUAGAUAUUCGGAGGAACACCAGUGGCGAAGGCGGCUUACUGGUCCAUUACUGACGCUGAGGUGCGAAAGCGUGGGGAGCAAACAGG
Molecule: ribosomal RNA, 404 nt
Filed under: Bacillota bacterium
Lineage: Bacteria; Bacillati; Bacillota
Description: Firmicutes bacterium partial 16S ribosomal RNA
Rfam family: Bacterial small subunit ribosomal RNA
Source: RNAcentral